RNAcentral lists this unclassified non-coding RNA (20 nucleotides) under Mus musculus (house mouse). Its description in RNAcentral is "oocyte_clustered_small_RNA905". Lineage: Eukaryota; Metazoa; Chordata; Mammalia; Rodentia; Muridae. The record is from RNAcentral.
AAUAUCCUGUUUGUUGUUGU